GCCCCGGUAGCUCAGCUGGAUAGAGCAGGACCCUUCUAAGGUCAAGGUCAGAGGUUCGAAUCCUCUCCGGGGUACCA
RNAcentral lists this transfer RNA (77 nucleotides) under Candidatus Peregrinibacteria bacterium. Its description in RNAcentral is "tRNA-Arg". It matches the Rfam family "tRNA". Rfam says of the family: Transfer RNA (tRNA) molecules are approximately 80 nucleotides in length. Their secondary structure includes four short double-helical elements and three loops (D, anti-codon, and T loops). Lineage: Bacteria; Candidatus Peregrinibacteriota. The record is from RNAcentral.